UACGGAAGGCAGCAGUGGGGAAUAUUGCACAAUGGGCGAAAGCCUGAUGCAGCUAUGCCGCGUGUAUGAAGAAGGCCUUAGGGUUGUAAAGUACUUUCAUCGGGGAGGAAAAAACAAAACUAAUAAUUUUAUUUCUUGACGUUACCCGAAAAAGAAGCACCGGCUAACUCCGUGCCAGCAGCCGCGGUAAUACGGAGGGUGCUAGCGUUAAUCAGAAUUACUGGGCGUAAAGAGCACGUAGGUGGUUUUUUAAGUUCAGAUGUGAAAUCCCUGGGCUUAACCUAGGAACUGCAUUUUGAAACUGAAAUACUAGAGUAUCGUAGAGGGAGGUAGAAUUCUAGGUGUAGCGGUGAAAUGCGUAGAUAUCUGGAGGAAUACCUGUGGCGAAAGCGGCCUCCUAAACGAAUACUGACACUGAGGGUGCGAAAGCGUGGGGAGCAAACAGGGAUUAGAUACC
RNAcentral lists this ribosomal RNA (457 nucleotides) under uncultured bacterium. RNAcentral's name for it is "bacterial SSU rRNA". It matches the Rfam family "Bacterial small subunit ribosomal RNA", at positions 340 to 786 of the family's 1533-position model. The record is from RNAcentral.